AGUCUGACCUGCCCAAUGAUGGUUUGAAUGGCUGCAGUAUCCUGACUGUACAAAGGUAGCAUAAUAAUUUGUUUUAUAAUUGAAGAAUGGAAUGAAUGGUUUGACAAGGGUGUGGCUGUCUCUUGCAUAUUUGUUUGAAGUUAAUUUUCGGGUUAAAAAGCUUGGAUUAGAUUAAAGGACGAGAAGACCCUAUUGAGCUUAAAUUGAUAAUAACGCUAGUGAGUGAAUGAUUAAGAAUUGCUAUAAGAUUAUUUAGUUUUAGUUGGGGCGACUAAGAGACAGGUGAAGCUCUCUUUAGUAUUCUGUAAAGUUGUUUUUUGAUCCAAUUUUUUUGAAUUAAGAUCAAGCUACCAUAGGGAUAACAGCGUUAUCUUUUUUGAGAGUUCUUAUCGAAAGAAGGGAUUGCGACCUCGAUGUUGGAUUAAGAUUUAAUAAAGGUUGUAGGAGCUUUUAUGAUUAGUCUGUUCGA
RNAcentral lists this ribosomal RNA (469 nucleotides) under Palaina sp. AB. RNAcentral describes it as "partial 16S ribosomal RNA". It matches the Rfam family "Bacterial large subunit ribosomal RNA", at positions 1851 to 2584 of the family's 2925-position model. The record is from RNAcentral. Lineage: Eukaryota; Metazoa; Mollusca; Gastropoda; Architaenioglossa; Diplommatinidae.